This 497-nucleotide ribosomal RNA is filed under the name uncultured bacterium. RNAcentral describes it as "partial 16S ribosomal RNA". It matches the Rfam family "Bacterial small subunit ribosomal RNA", at positions 28 to 507 of the family's 1533-position model. The record is from RNAcentral.
GAUGAACGCUGGCGGCGUGCCUAAUACAUGCAAGUCGAGCGAACGGACGAGAAGCUUGCUUUUCUGAUGUUAGCGGCGGACGGGUGAGUAACACGUGGAUAACCUACCUAUAAGACUGGGAUAACUUCGGGAAACCGGAGCUAAUACCGGAUAAUAUUUUGAACCGCAUGGUUCAAAAGUGAAAGACGGUCUUGCUGUCACUUAUAGAUGGAUCCGCGCUGCAUUAGCUAGUUGGUAAGGUAACGGCUUACCAAGGCAACGAUGCGUAGCCGACCUGAGAGGGUGAUCGGCCACACUGGAACUGAGACACGGUCCAGACUCCUACGGGAGGCAGCAGUAGGGAAUCUUCCGCAAUGGGCGAAAGCCUGACGGAGCAACGCCGCGUGAGUGAUGAAGGUCUUCGGACCGUAAAACUCUGUUAUUAGGGAAGAACAUAUGUGUAAGUAACUGUGCACAUCUUGACGGUACCUAAUCAGAAAGCCACGGCUAACUACGUG